AGAGUUUGAUCCUGGCUCAGGACGAACGCUGGCGGCGUGCUUAACACAUGCAAGUCGAACGAGAAUCUGUGGAUCGAGGAUUCGUCCAAGUGAAGCAGAGGACAGUGGCGGACGGGUGAGUAACGCGUGAGGAACCUGCCUUUCAGAGGGGGACAACAGUUGGAAACGACUGCUAAUACCGCAUGAUACAUUUGGGUGGCAUCAUCUGAAUGUCAAAGAUUUAUCGCUGAAAGAUGGCCUCGCGUCUGAUUAGCUGGUUGGUGAGGUAACGGCCCACCAAGGCGACGAUCAGUAGCCGGACUGAGAGGUUGACCGGCCACAUUGGGACUGAGAUACGGCCCAGACUCCUACGGGAGGCAGCAGUGGGGAAUAUUGGGCAAUGGGCGCAAGCCUGACCCAGCAACGCCGCGUGAAGGAAGAAGGCUUUCGGGUUGUAAACUUCUUUUAAGAGGGAAGAGCAGAAAACUGUACCUCUAGAAUAAGCCACGGCUAACUACGUGCCAGCAGCCGCGGUAAUACGUAUGUGGCAAGCGUUGUCCGGAUUUACUGGGUGUAAAGGGCGUGCAGCCGGGAAUGCAAGUCAGAUGUGAAAUCCAUGGGCUUAACCCAUGAACUGCAUUUGAAACUGUAUUUCUUGAGUACUGGAGAGGCAAUCGGAAUUCCUAGUGUAGCGGUGAAAUGCGUAGAUAUUAGGAGGAACACCAGUGGCGAAGGCGGAUUGCUGGACAGCAACUGACGGUGAGGCGCGAAAGUGUGGGGAGCAAACAGGAUUAGAUACCCUGGUAGUCCACACUGUAAACGAUGAAUACUAGGUGUGCGGGGACUGACCCCCUGCGUGCCGCAGUUAACACAAUAAGUAUUCCACCUGGGGAGUACGAUCGCAAGGUUGAAACUCAAAGGAAUUGACGGGGGCCCGCACAAGCGGUGGAUUAUGUGGUUUAAUUCGAAGCAACGCGAAGAACCUUACCAGUCCUUGACAUCCAACUGACCGACCAGUAACGUGGUCUUCUCUUCGGAGCAGUUGAGACAGGUGGUGCAUGGUUGUCGUCAGCUCGUGUCGUGAGAUGUUGGGUUAAGUCCCGCAACGAGCGCAACCCCUAUUCUUAGUAGCCAGCAGUAAGAUGGGAACUCUAGGGAGACUGCCGGGGAUAACCCGGAGGAAGGUGGGGACGACGUCAAAUCAUCAUGCCCCUUAUGGGCUGGGCUACACACGUGCUACAAUGGUGCUAACAGAGUGAGGCGAGACUGUGAAGUUAAGCAAAUCACAAAAAUGGCAUCUCAGUUCGGAUUGUAGUCUGCAACUCGACUACAUGAAGCUGGAAUCGCUAGUAAUCGCAGAUCAGAAUGCUGCGGUGAAUACGUUCCCGGGUCUUGUACACACCGCCCGUCACACCAUGGGAGUUGGGAAUGCCCGAAGCCGGUGACCUAACCGUAAGGAAGGAGCCGUCGAAGGCAGGCUCGAUAACUGGGGUGAAGUCGUAACAAGGUA
RNAcentral lists this ribosomal RNA (1489 nucleotides) under metagenome. Its description in RNAcentral is "bacterial SSU rRNA". It matches the Rfam family "Bacterial small subunit ribosomal RNA". The record is from RNAcentral.